This is an RNA transcript of Anopheles stephensi (Asian malaria mosquito), 8881 nucleotides long. It is a transcript of the gene named syntaxin-1A-like, with no coding region annotated. The transcript has 11 exons. The record is from RefSeq and is a predicted model, not a curated record. NCBI's taxonomy places the organism in Eukaryota, Metazoa, Arthropoda, Insecta, Diptera, Culicidae.
UGUAGGUAUGCGCUCGGCCAAGGCCUUAAAAAGUGGUACAGUGGAAAUGGUAGCAUGAAAAGUUAAUGUUUCCGCGUUUAAAGGUUUGUUAGGUGAAUAAUCCGCGCUUCCGUGUGAAAUGUGAAUAGUUGGUGAACGUUAUAAUCGUGUAUCCGUGUUGUUGUAGGUGCAGUGGUGAAAAGUGGUACGAAAGAGUGUUGAAGGUUUGAAGGCGGUGCUAACAGUUAGCGUGACCGGGGCUAUAGAGACGACGAGCAAAUAUUAAUCUGCCGAGGAUCCCAAGCGGUUGCACCUUCUCCUCUAAUAUCCUUCGCCAUAGCCCGUUCGGCCGAACCGUUUUGCUACCGCCUCAUCAACCAAACGGGAAAAUAGAGCGCGACCGUCGAUCGAUCGAAGUAGUCGGGUAAAAGGGUGACUCUUGUCCGGUGGCGGCAUCUCUGUCUGUGGUGGUGGAGUAGCGGAAGUAGCGGUGAAGUGUGUUGGAGAGGAAACCCACGACACAUUUUCUUCGGCAUCGUCGCGGUAUAAGUUUAUUGGUUUUCAACGAAAAAAAAAGGAAAAAAAAAUCAUCGCAAACAUCCGCGAAGGAGCAUUUUGAAACAGAGAGUAGAGGACAAGCAGACGGACAUACCGACACACACAUUCAUACACAUAGAUCCAUACACCAACAUAUUUACGCCCCGUACACGUACACGGUGUACAGCAUACCCUUACAGGAAGUGCGUAGAGGGAGCCACCGGCGAUAAGAAGCGGUCAAAAUGACGAAGGACAGAUUAGCAGCCUUGCAAGCGGAUAUAGAGGCACAGAGCGAUGAUGAGGAUAUGCCUGAGGAUGUGGCUGUGCCGGUGGAGGGCAGCUUCAUGGAAGAUUUCUUCAAAGAGGUGGAAGAGAUACGGAUGAUGAUCGACAAAAUUCAGGCUAAUGUCGAGGAAGUGAAGAAAAAACACAGUGCCAUCCUGUCGGCCCCACAGUCAGAUGAGAAAACCAAACAGGAACUUGAAGACCUCAUGGCCGACAUUAAAAAAACUGCCAACAGAGUAAGAGGGAAGCUUAAGGGUAUCGAGCAAAACAUUGAACAGGAGGAGCAGCAGAGCAAGUCGAAUGCCGAUCUAAGGAUACGAAAAACGCAACAUUCGGCUCUGUCGCGCAAGUUUGUCGAGGUCAUGACGGAGUACAACCGGACCCAGACGGACUACCGAGAGCGUUGCAAAGGAAGAAUACAACGACAACUGGAAAUUACGGGUAGAGCGACUACAAACGAAGAACUUGAGGAAAUGUUGGAGCAGGGCAAUUCGGCCGUCUUCACGCAGGGGAUCAUCAUGGAGACUCAGCAAGCCAAGCAAACUCUGGCCGAUAUCGAAGCUCGACAUGCAGAUAUUAUAAAAUUGGAAAAUUCAAUUAGGGAACUGCAUGACAUGUUCAUGGAUAUGGCUAUGUUGGUUGAAAGUCAGGGUGAAAUGAUUGAUCGUAUAGAAUAUCACGUCGAACAUGCAAUGGAUUAUGUUCAAACAGCGACACAAGACACAAAGAAAGCGCUUAAAUAUCAAAGCAAAGCCCGCCGGAAGAAGAUUAUGAUCCUGAUCUGUUUAACCGUGCUUGGGCUGAUUGUGGCAUCGUACGUCAGUAGCUACUUCAUGUAAAACAAAGAGCGAAGAUAAGAUUGAGGCGCGGAUUUCGCACGACGGCACACGCAAACACGACGUUCCACGUGGUUGGAUUCUGAACAACAACAACAACAACAUCUACUGCAACAAAACUCAAUGCACAAACGGCGAACAAAUGAUUUAUUCUGCACCCAGCCGAAGAGCGGUGUUCUCAAAUGCAAUGAAAAUUAAAUAGAAAACGACCAAAAACGCUACUACAAAGAAACGUGGAAGACGGACAGUAUAAGCGAGCAGUUCAUUAUUUCCCUUUGGGUUUGGUUUUAGACAACAAUUAUCGAGAACAAACACUGUUACUGUUGCCUGUAGAGCAACUCGACCGCUAAUUUGUUCAGUCAAGUGACAAGCAGAUCCGUAACGACGAAGGAGAACCACUCAAGUAUUCACCUGCGGCAUAUUCUCUUGUAAUGUAUUCAGUGCGAGCACGGGGCACUGAGUAUCCGAGAAAUGGGGAGCGCACGGGAACUCCGGCUCGGAUAUCCAUACCACCAAAUAUUCAUUUGUCCCUCGGUUUAUUUGGUACAUUUCACCAGCGUACAACAGCGCACGACCGGAGCAAGUACAUUUUAAGAAACGUGUACGGUGUGGCUACGGCAUGUAACCUGUUUCAGUUAAGGCGACACACUGCGAAUACCAGCAACAGGUCGCAAAGGCUCGAUUGUCAACGAACGGCGUACCACUUUUUUGGCGCCAUGUGCGACUAUUGUCAAACAGAUUCAAACAGAUCAGACACCCAGUUGUGAAUGCUCCCACGCUUUCGUUUCGAAUGUCGCCGAUUCGUCAAUCCGCUACUUACUUCUACAACGCGUGACGCCAAACCUGCCAAAUACCCGAUACCAAAUCGCGAAUACCCGCUGUGCUAGUACACGGAUUUUCCGCUAUGAGGCGGCACCACUGCAAGGACAGUGCAAACCCACCUCCCCUCCCCCUCAUCCCCACCCCCCGGGGCCACACCGUAGACGCGUUAGAACGAAAAGCAAUCAAACAAGCGCUGCAAUCAAAACUAUUCGAAGAAAUACACAGAGAUGCAAGAGAGAGAGAGAGAGGGAGAGAGGGAGGAAACACAUUAAAUAGAUAUAUGCUGAUGAGCGCCAGAAGCAGCCAGCAGCAGCGGACCGGAGGGUAGAGAUAUGCCACAAAGAACAAACCAAAUCAAGAUAGAAACAGCAGUAUCAAACAUCUCUUCACGUGCUCCUACUUUCCCAUAAUACUCACCACCUCAGCACAACAGUGUCUAUCUCUUUUGCAUAUUGUGUAAAUUGUAAACAGGUACCGUAUACCGUGCGAUCCCUUGUGCACCUGUGCAUUUAUUUGUGGCUGACCCCACAACCGAACGUAACUCACACGGAAAAACCAGAACCAACCAAACACACCUAAUGUUGAUAGCACCCGUGUUCAACGUAUGACCUAAACACCAUCCCAGCAAAUCACAACUGGCACGCAGGGGGAGAAGCAAUCUCACGAUCUGGGGGCCGCAUCCGCAGCGUAAACCUCCUAUCCCCAGGUGUCAGGGGGAUGAUGACGAAGCGUCGACAGCGCAUCAGCACGUUGAGAAAAUCGGCUUUCGUUUGCGUUUGCGACCCAGAAACAACAAAACCGAGCAAAAUGAAGCAUUAUUGUUAAAGUGAUCAUUUUUUUUUCGUUAAGGUCGGCUUGAAGAAUGCAGGAUCGAAAAUUUGCAAAUCAAUUAUAACCCCGCUCCAUCCCACGACGAUAUAUGAUGUGAGUGCGUGUGCGACAAAUGGUGGCCAUGGUUAACGAUUGUUAAACUAUUUGUUGCUCUUCACGAAUGAAACAGACAUUGGGACGUGUUAGGUGUUCGGGAAUGUCCGGUAGAGAAUACAUGUAUUAUGACGACAAUGGCAAUAAAUGUGAAAAUAGGUAAGGACAAGACAUAUAUGACAGAAGAAUACGGCCACACACAGCCGCAGCAGCUACCAACGAUAGGAAUGUAUUCAUUAUUGAUGGCGGAUAAUCACACCUAACCCUGCUAGAGAGAGGAGACCCACAAUUGCAUUUUCCUGCAAGUGCAUCCCCCCGGAGAGACAGUCUCUGCAGAGCACGAACACGUGUGUGUGUGUGUGUGGAGCUACAGGAAAAGAUUAUGCAUCUUUAUACUUUGCACAUAUCCGGCUGCUGCUCUCCGGGUGCACAGGCACAGUGGCACGUUUUUGUUUUCGUUCGUUUGUUUUUGAAUUAAGACAGCGGAACAACCAUGUCGCAGAACAGUAAUUGGGCGUGCCAUCAUGACGCAAAAUGUUCAAGAAAAUGUGUGAUAAUAAUUAAUUCGAUAAAGGUCCCUUCCUCUCUCUCUCUCUAUCUUUGCGACACAUACGCAACGCAAAAUCUACAACUAAGACACAAACUUAGCAAAGGACUACCUAAGAGAGAGAUGGAGAGAGAGAGAGAGAGAGGGAGAAAGUGAACAAAAAAGUAUAUUUUAGAGUUUAGGGCGAUCGAAAAUCUUUACACAGGCACGCGAAACGUAGAUGUGGGUAUAUAUCGGCCCGAUGAUAUUCUUACACCAGAGCUCGCAGAUAACAACCAUGCAGGAGGAAGAAGGUAGAAGAGUGACAUCUCGACCCUUUCAUUUGACGAGGAACGAGGACUAUUACACGGGGGGAAGGAUUCGUUCGGCAAGGAUCGUUUAGUACAGUUCACGUUUGUUUCAUUCGGUUCGCCAUGAAUGAACUGCAUUUUGUGUGUGCAAUUAUGCGCUUCCAGGUAAAAAAAACUACACUCUCUCACUCUCUAUCUAAUUAAACACGUGCACAUGAGAAUAGUCAAUUUAUAUAGCCACAGUGGACGGUUGGUUGAGAGGGACGCGCCCCAGGGAACGUCCAGGGAACGUGUGGGAUUCGUGGGCCUCGGUUGCAUACUUGUGUGUUAUGUUAACGUGAACAGUUUGCGUUGAAGCAUUUUUGAAUGCCUCCCUGUGUUGUUGCUAAGCUAAAUUGCAUAGGCAUUCAUGCAAGGAAAAAGGAGUCAGAAUCGAGUAAAAUCUAAAUUCAAUACUGCCCAAUGAUUGGAGGAUGCUGCAACAGAAGAAAACAUGCAACCGAAAGGUGUAUUGACCUACGUUUCCAUCUCUUUCAACGUACGCAAAGAUGCAACGGAGUCUCUGAGUCACACGCUUAACACAAACACUGGGAGCAUUUGCAUUAGACACCAAUAGCUUGCGGGCGAUGAUUGUCCGCAUAUGAGCAGCUCCGGUCUGGCCGCCAACCCUUAGCGAUUGCUCCUUUAUAUUUCUGGCGCCAUACGUGAGGCUGCCUUACCUUCCUAGGCAUUACAUCUGUUACACAUUUGUUGUUUUGUUGGUACUUUAUUUGUAGUGAUUCACAAUAGUCGAAUGAAGCGGGCUAGAGCUAGAGCUGUGGAUAGGGAUCGAUCGAACACGAUAGCGCUAGGGAACGAUACUGUUACGUCAAUUGUUAUGCAGCAAAUGCAGAUGGGAGCAAAAGCAGAUAAAAUUACUAUGUUCGUGGCCAUUUAAGGUAUUACUACGUGCGGGGUGAAAGGUGCGUGCAGAUAGCCGAUUGUUGUUUUCUACUGCUGUAUCAAGAUAUGAUGUAGCAGCAAAGGGAUGCUCCGUUUUGAGUUUGCGUUUAUGCCACUACUUUCCGGUUCCGGUUUCGGGGUUCUGUUUCAUUAGCUGCAUUCCUAGGCCUUUGUUUUGGAGGCUGUGCGUUGCACAGAAAGGACGGCGGGGGUUGACGAUGGUACAGAAGAGGGAUGGAACAAACAAACAAACUGCUGCAAUCAGACAUGCCUGUUGUAAUCACGGACUAAAGGCUCGACACGGUGUGCGACGAUUUGGGAUGCGUAAUAUUUAAGCAAAACUCUAGUUAAACAAUAAUGUAUUUGAAGAAACAACAUUCAAAGCAGUGGCAGAAGAAUAGUGUGUGGUACAGAACAAUCCGUGUUACUCAACAGUCAAUGGUGUCCGCCGUGGGAAGAUGAAAUCAUUAGCAAGCAGCGAGAUAAAUUUGAUUCGGAGCACAACAGAACAGGAAGGAGGCAGCAAACGAAAAUGUAGUGUAAUCAAAAAACACAAUUUUAAGACGACAAAUAGUGUAAUGUGUUCGCUAGAGUUUCCGGGGGUUGCAUCCACCACUCUUGAAUUAAUCCGAACCCGAUUAUUGGCAAUAGUAUAUCAUGGCGCGGAAGAGAAAUCAGCACCACCACCACCAGCACACCACGUCAGAACAGCAGCAUGAUGAUUUGCCUGCAAUAAGCGAAGGAAGGACGAAUGUAUGUCAAACACGUUGCUGGCUGAUUAGUUAUUAUCGUAAGGAAAGUAUAUAUAUAUAUACAUAAUUAUAUACACAUAGUAUCUAAAACGAAAAAUGCGAAAAAACACAAAAAUAUAGCCUAUUCACUUAAAUAGUUAUUUAAUGCAAACUAUAUAUCUCCAGAUGUCGCGUCGUUCGUCCGAUAACGACACAGAGAACACAGAGACCCGCACGCAGAACAGAGCUAGGGAGCGCAAUUGCCACAGCGUGUAACAGAGACGUGACAUGAAAAUAUGAUUGACCACCACCUGACCUUCACCAAUAAUUCUGUACACUACACUGCAUAUUACAUAAAGUAAGAUUAGACAGCAAACCCACAGAGCAUAUUGUGCGGAUGCUCGGGACACCAGGAAGGAGUUGAUGCACGAUAAUCGCGAAGAAUUCCAGGACAAACAUACUCCCCAAAAGACACAGACGUACGCGGACAAAAAGCGAACAAAGCAACCUGUAGAAGAUCGAACAAGCAUAUACAGACAGUGAGCGAUAAGGCAUGAUAAGGACACCCAACAAACAAACAAACAAACAAACAAAAACGUCAACAACAACAAACGUCUUGCCGGCGUUAGCGAUAGUGUUAUGGCAAAUAUCUAGACCGGGUAGGAAGGAAGGCCGGCCAGCCUGUUGGCAGGAGUCUUGCCCUGCUGCUGCACCCUGUUGUACAGUAUAUAUUUUUCUCUCUAUUUCUAUUGUAUCAAUUAUCAACAAAACGGGGGUGGUGUACAAAAACCCAAAAGCAUACGGUGGAAAUUGAUCCUAUCCGGAAAGAUAGAGAGAAGAAAACAAAACGAACGCAUAAACAGAAUCAGAUCAAACGGUACACCAGUUCGAUCGGAAGCCUGUAAAAAGACCACAAAGAAGCAGAAGAAACUGAUACAAAAUGGCAGUUGAAUGAAGAAGAACAAAAAAACACAAGGCAACAUACGGGCUGGCAGUCAAAAUUUGUUGUGUUUUCUUCCCAAAAAAACCUAUCGCGGAAAAUUUGUUUCGUUUCGCCUCGAAUCGCUAACGGAUAUCGCUUUGAUACAAGCCAAACGUUGUUGCUGGCGCUGCUACUGCUGUUACGCGCCGUGCAUCGUGCUAUCGGUUACGCUGCGCUUGGCAGUUGCUAUGGUUGCAUUCUCAUCUUAGUAAAAACGAAAGCUCAUGCCUGUUCCAGCACAUGUACACUGUGAACGUGAGAUGAUGAAAUGGAGGAGGAAAACAAAUAACGACAAACGUGCAGAAUGGACAAAUUAAGUUGACAAUUUUGUCUGAACAAUUCCAACUUGUUGUUUACCCAGUACUUUCUAAAAGUAAGCAAUUGAUUUUUCUUUCACAAAUCUUGAUGUUGAUGAGAUACUUGAUGCAAGCAACCGUGAAAACAAAACAAAAAAAAAACGAACAGCCUACUAGAAUGUGUAAAAGAAGCGGGAAGGAGGUAGCAGAGCAAAAAUGCGCUUGAUUCUAUUAUAGUUCUGUCAGUAAAGAACGGCUGCUAAAGCUACAAACACUCACACACAGCAAAAUGAGAACAAAAAUCAAUCAGAAUCGUACACCAAACAAAACAAAAAAAAACAACAACAAAAACGCUAUUAAUUCAUAAACAACUUCAGCUACAUUCGUGCAAACACACCAUCGCAGAGAAGAGAGCAAGAGAACCAUCGCACAUACAGAGAAAGGACACUGGAAUAUAGUACAUUGAAAAAAAAAACACACACACACAACGUAUGGAGAUGUUCAGUAAUAAGACUACAUUCCCAGAAGAAAAACAACAAAAAAUAGCGUAAAAGCGAUCGAAACAUAUACAAAACUCGAGCAAGUAAAUAGCAGCCAGAAGACGAAGCAAAGCAAAACAAAGUAACAAACAAACAAACAAAACGUGUAAAUUGUUGCAUUUAAUCAUAAGUCCAUUUUGAAGUUAUUGCGAAGUUAAAUGAAAGUAAAACAGAAACAAACAAACAAACAAAAAAAGAGAAAAGUAACUCCCUCUCUUCAGUAACUAGACGUUCAGUGCUAUGAAAACUAUGAAUAUGAAAACAAAACAAAUAAAAAAAAAAACAACACGUCACAACAACAGGCAACAGAACAACACUGACAACAACAAAAACGUAGUAAACACUCGCAAAAAACGUCACAAAGCACCAGAAUAUCAUUAUCUCCUCCGCUGUUGUCCUUACCAGGCUUCUUUGGAAGCUGCGGGCGCCGACACCGACGCUGACGCCGCCACUGCUGCCUGCAACGUACUACCCCGUAUUAGUAAUGGUAAUUUGUUAUGUUUGAAUGUGUUUGGAAAAAAAUAUUGCCAAUUCUUUCUACUGAUUGUGCUGUAACAUGACUGCGUGACUGUGCGUAUAUUCGACCAUAGAAUAACAGGUACCGUGUAUGUUGGUAGGUUUAGUUUUAAUUUCUGUACCAGCCCUAGCGCCCCAUGCGAGGACAAAUGAUGUUAUGUUUGCAUGCAAAACAAAAACAAAAAAUCGGUUCUCCUUUUUUGGACACGUGGCACGGCAUCCAUUCGGCAGCAAGGAGACGGUACGGGUUUUUCGUACGGUUUCCGGUGUUUGGUGGUGUACGAAUCGGAUGUGGAGGACUUGGGAGGACGAAAAGCAAUGGGAAGAGAUAAGGGAUAAACUGCAACCACACAAGAGAAACAAAAAGAAACCACACACACACACACACAAAACCUACACAAACACGAUACAAAAUCAAGUGAUGGCUUUCGAAAUUAUAUAAGGAAGAUCUUAAAAAUAAACACAAGUUGAUAAAAGCUAACUAUUAAUCGCCUUUUUGCAUUUAUUCAUUCGCUGGUUAUUAACGUUGAGAGAAAACAAAACAAGCAACAAACAAAGAAACAAACAAACAAAAGGAAACAAGGGAAAUGUUUGCGCAUACGAAGGUGAACAGAGCGAAACAAAACGGACAAAUAAAGAAGAAGAAUAGUUACAA